Anneissia japonica is the source of this 275-nucleotide long non-coding RNA. RefSeq lists it as uncharacterized. The transcript has 2 exons. The record is from RefSeq and is a predicted model, not a curated record. NCBI's taxonomy places the organism in Eukaryota, Metazoa, Echinodermata, Crinoidea, Comatulida, Comatulidae.
GGCUGAUCGAGGACGACUCAACACAGUAUCAGAUGCAGGAGGCUAUGGAGCCUGGGCAGCAGCAAACAAUGACCUAGAUCAGUGGAUUCAAGCCGAUCUCGGUUCAGUGAAACGUGUAGUUGGAGUAAUAACACAAGGGCGAAGUGGUGGGGGUCAAUGGGUUAAAACAUACAAAGUUACUUCCAGUACCAAUGGUAGCAUUUUCACACCAGUAUUGGGAUCGAGUGGUCAAGUUGAGAUUUUUAGUGCAAACUCAGAUGCAAACACCGAGGUGA